GACGAACGCUGGCGGCGUGCUUAACACAUGCAAGUCGAACGGCAAGGCCCUGCUUUUGUGGGGUGCUCGAGUGGCGAACGGGUGAGUAACACGUGAGUAACCUGCCCUUGACUUUGGGACAACUUCAGGAAACUGGGGCUAAUCCCGGAUAGGAGCUCCUGCUGCAUGGUGGGGGUUGGAAAGUUUCGGCGGUUGGGGAUGGACUCGCGGCUUAUCAGCUUGUUGGUGGGGUAGUGGCUUACCAAGGGAUUGGCGGGUAGCCGGCCUGGGAGGGUGACCGGGCUCCAUAGGACUGAGGGAGGGACCAGAGUGCUACGGGGGGCAACAGGCGGGAAUAUUACACAAUGGGACGGAGCCUGAGGAGACAACCUCGGGUGCGGGAAGACCGCCUUCGGGGUAAGAAACGCUUUCGGCUAAUACCAAGCGGUAGUGACGGUAAUGGGAGAAGAAGCACCGGCUAACUUCGUG
RNAcentral lists this ribosomal RNA (468 nucleotides) under uncultured bacterium. Its description in RNAcentral is "partial 16S ribosomal RNA". It matches the Rfam family "Bacterial small subunit ribosomal RNA", at positions 28 to 507 of the family's 1533-position model. The record is from RNAcentral.